UAAACAGCUGAUUGAGCGGCAGUGCGCCGCUGUUACAUGCAUAUAGCGGAAACCCUGUAUGUGCACGUGUGGUGCUGAUGUUGCGCGAUGUAAAUCAUGCGCCUCCCGAGUGAAUAUGACCGCCAUAUGUCAGACUGACCGGCAGGUCGCUGGUUAUGGCCGAUGACGUGAAAAUCAGCCAAUUCCGGUCACCAGCCGGUCAAUCUGUGCAUCUCUACUAGGUUUGUAUUGCAUGUAUUUGUGGGAGGCUAA
This is a long non-coding RNA of Sander lucioperca (pikeperch), 252 nucleotides long. RefSeq lists it as uncharacterized. The record is from RefSeq and is a predicted model, not a curated record. Lineage: Eukaryota; Metazoa; Chordata; Actinopteri; Perciformes; Percidae. The transcript is spliced from 3 exons.